This 253-nucleotide ribosomal RNA is filed under the name uncultured bacterium. RNAcentral describes it as "partial 16S ribosomal RNA". It matches the Rfam family "Bacterial small subunit ribosomal RNA", at positions 524 to 776 of the family's 1533-position model. The record is from RNAcentral.
UACGUAGGGGGCUAGCGUUGUCCGGAAUCAUUGGGCGUAAAGAGCGUGUAGGCGGCCCGGUAAGUCCGCUGUGAAAGUCGGGGGCUCAACCCUCGAAUGCCGGUGGAUACUGUCGGACUAGAGUCCGGAAGAGGCGAGUGGAAUUCCCGGUGUAGCGGUGAAAUGCGCAGAUAUCGGGAGGAACACCAAUGGCGAAGGCAGCUCGCUGGGACGGUACUGACGCUGAGGCGCGAAAGCGUGGGGAGCAAACAGG